Molecule: ribosomal RNA, 1923 nt
Filed under: human gut metagenome
Description: bacterial LSU rRNA
Rfam family: Bacterial large subunit ribosomal RNA
Source: RNAcentral
UCAAGCGACUAAGUGCAUAUGGUGGAUGCCUUGGCGAUCACAGGCGAUGAAGGACGUGUAAGCCUGCGAAAAGCUUCGGGGAGCUGGCAAUAAAGCUUUGAUCCGGAGAUGUCCGAAUGGGGAAACCCACUCCGCAAGGAGUAUCCCAAUCUGAAUACAUAGGGUUGGGAGGCGAACCCGGUGAACUGAAACAUCUAAGUAGCCGGAGGAAAAGAAAUCAACCGAGAUUCCGUAAGUAGUGGCGAGCGAACACGGAAGAGCCUGAGAGUGAUAGCAGGAUGGUUAGCAGAACGGAAUGGAAAGUCCGGCCGUAGUGGGUGAUAGCCCCGUAUGCGAAAGCCAACCUGUGGUACUAAGCUUGAGAAAAGUAGGGCGGGGCACGAGAAACCCUGUCUGAACAUGGGGGGACCAUCCUCCAAGGCUAAAUACUCGUGAUCGACCGAUAGUGAACCAGUACCGUGAGGGAAAGGCGAAAAGAACCCCGGGAGGGGAGUGAAAUAGAACCUGAAACCGUAUGCAUACAAACAGUGGGAGCCUCCUUGAGGGGUGACUGCGUACCUUUUGUAUAAUGGGUCAGCGACUUACGUUAUGUUGCGAGCUUAACCGAAUAGGGGAGGCGUAGCGAAAGCGAGUCUGAUAAGGGCGUUAAGUAGCAUGGCGUAGACCCGAAACCGGAUGAUCUAUCCAUGGCCAGGAUGAAGGUGCGGUAACACGCACUGGAGGUCCGAACCCACUGACGUUGAAAAGUCAGGGGAUGAGCUGUGGAUAGGGGUGAAAGGCUAAACAAAUCCGGAAAUAGCUGGUUCUCCCCGAAAACUAUUUAGGUAGUGCGUCUUGUAUCACUUGCGGGGGUAAAGCACUGUUAUGGCUAGGGGGUCAUCGCGACUUACCAAACCAUGGCAAACUCUGAAUACCGCAAAGUGCGAGCAAGGCAGACAGACAGUGGGUGCUAACGUCCAUUGUCAAGAGGGAAACAACCCAGACCGCCAGCUAAGGUCCCCAAGACACAGUUAAGUGGGAAACGAAGUGGGAAGGCAUAGACAGCUAGGAGGUUGGCUUAGAAGCAGCCAUCCUUUAAAGAAAGCGUAAUAGCUCACUAGUCGAGUCGUCCUGCGCGGAAGAUGUAACGGGGCUCAAACUGUGCACCGAAGCUGCGGAUAUCCUUUGGAUAUGGUAGGGGAGCGUUCUGUAGGUCUGUGAAGGUGUCUUGUAAAGGAUGCUGGAGAUAUCAGAAGUGCGAAUGCUGACAUGAGUAGCGAUAAAGCGGGUGAAAGGCCCGCUCGCCGAAAGCCCAAGGUUUCCUACGCAACGUUCAUCGGCGUAGGGUGAGUCGGCCCCUAAGGCGAGGCAGAGAUGCGUAGUCGAUGGGAAACAGGUCAAUAUUCCUGUACCGAUUCUAGAUGCGAUGUGGGGACGGAGAAGGUUAGGUCAGCCGGGUGUUGGAUGUCCCGGUUUAAGCGUGUAGGCGUGCCCCUUAGGCAAAUCCGGGGGGCUAAGCUGAGGCGUGACGACGAGGUGCUAAGGCACUGAAGUGAUUGAUACCCAGCUUCCAGGAAAAGCCACUAAGCUUCAGUCUAGAUUCGACCGUACCGCAAACCGACACAGGUGGGCAGGAUGAAAAUUCUAAGGCGCUUGAGAGAACUCAGGAGAAGGAACUCGGCAAAUUGACACCGUAACUUCGGGAGAAGGUGUGCCCCGAUGAUGUGAACGCCCUCGCGGCGGGAGCAGUAAGGGGUUGCAGUGAAAUGGUGGCUGCGACUGUUUAAUAAAAACACAGCACUCUGCAAACACGAAAGUGGACGUAUAGGGUGUGACGCCUGCCCGGUGCUGGAAGAUUAAAUGAUGGGGUGCAAGCCCUUGACUGAAGUCCCAGUAAACGGCGGCCGUAACUAUAACGGUCCUAAGGUAGCGAAAUUCCUUGUC